RNAcentral lists this ribosomal RNA (462 nucleotides) under uncultured bacterium. RNAcentral describes it as "partial 16S ribosomal RNA". It matches the Rfam family "Bacterial small subunit ribosomal RNA", at positions 28 to 507 of the family's 1533-position model. The record is from RNAcentral.
GAUGAACGCUGACAGAAUGCUUAACACAUGCAAGUCAUUGGCGAAGCUGCGCUUGCGCAGUCUAGCCAAGGCGGACGGGUGAGUAACGCGUAAGGAACUUGCCCUGCAGACAGGGAUAACGGACGGAAACGACUGAUAACACCUGGUAUUGUCAGGCUGGCGCAUGCCGGCCUGAUGAAAGGAGACACUGCAGGAGAGCCUUGCGUCCUAUUAGCUAGUUGGUGGGGUAACGGCCCACCAAGGCGAUGAUAGGUAGCCGGCCUGAGAGGGUGAACGGCCACAAGGGGACUGAGAUACGGCCCUUACUCCUACGGGAGGCAGCAGUGGGGAAUAUUGGACAAUGGGGGCAACCCUGAUCCAGCAACUCUGUGUGCACGAAGAAGGUUUUCGGAUUGUAAAGUGCUUUCAGCAGGGAAGAAGAAAGUGACGGUACCUGCAGAAGAAGCGACGGCUAAAUACGUG